CACGUAGGCGGUUUGGUAAGUCAGUAGUGAAAGCCUGUGGCUCAACCGCAGGACUGCUAUCGAUACUGCCAGACUAGAGUACAGAAGAGGAGAGUGGAAUUCCACAAGUAGCGGUGAAAUGCGUAGAUAUGUGGAGGAACACCAGUGGCGAAGGCGACUCUCUGGUCUGAUACUGACGCUGAGGUGCGAAAGCUAGGGGAGCGAACAGGAUUAGAUACCCUGGUAGUCC
This 229-nucleotide ribosomal RNA is filed under the name uncultured bacterium. RNAcentral's name for it is "partial 16S ribosomal RNA". It matches the Rfam family "Bacterial small subunit ribosomal RNA", at positions 568 to 796 of the family's 1533-position model. The record is from RNAcentral.